RNAcentral lists this long non-coding RNA (595 nucleotides) under Vigna radiata. RNAcentral describes it as "long non-coding RNA (VRAD_LNC014928)". Lineage: Eukaryota; Viridiplantae; Streptophyta; Magnoliopsida; Fabales; Fabaceae. The record is from RNAcentral.
AAGCUGGAAUAUAAAAAUUUUUGUACAUAUGAAUUUUUUUUUUCUUAAUCAACUUAAAUCAUAAUAGGCAUUCUUAAAAGUUAUUUUAAAAAUUAAUUAACUUUUAAAAUAAAUAAAUAAUUGCUUUUUUAAUUUGUGUCUUUAAAUGCAAUUUAGCCAUAACUAAAAAAAUUAUCUAAUUUAUUUUUAAUAUACUUAUAAUUAAAGAAUAGUUUAUAUUUAAAGUAGGUUUAAUGUAUUUGGAAGUCCUUAUUGUUACAGAUUUGUAUCAAUUGGGUCCUCAUAUUUUGGAAGUACUCAAUUCGGUCUCUAUUUUAGUAAAAUUGAGUCAAUAAUGGCCUUGCCGUUAAAUAGCAAUGGAUGGCGUUAACUUUCUAGCGAAGUUACGUGCUGAGCUGUCCUUUAAUUAACACGUGGCACAGUAAAAUCUCAUGUGGAAACCUUCUCCCCUUCUCCUUCCCCUUCCUUUUCCUCACCAACUCCAACCUCACCUUUUCCCCUGUUUGGGAAACUUUCUUCUCACCCUCCCACACUCACCUUUUCAACAUCUACAUCCAUGCCUAUCGCCCAAUCCAACCGUCCGACGCACCUCUCG